RNAcentral lists this non-coding RNA (31 nucleotides) under Rattus norvegicus (Norway rat). Lineage: Eukaryota; Metazoa; Chordata; Mammalia; Rodentia; Muridae. The record is from RNAcentral.
UGAAAUUGACGAAGUCACUUCCAAGAUGGUA